UGUGACCCCUGCUUACAGAUAAAAGUCACAGCACAUCUCUUCAGACUCUCAUCUUCAGCUCCUCACUUCUCAGACUUCUUCAGACUCCAAGCUGCUCAGGAGACCUCCUGCUUAGACCAGGAAAGAGCUGCUUCGGACCAUGGGCCCUGCACGGGCCUGACCAACGCACACCCAGCAUCUGGAGAGAGCCUCUCGUCGCCCGGAGAACAUGUCCGGGCAGAUCAGGAAUCGAUUACAUGAAGCAGUAUCUCGAGGAUCCCUCCAUGCAGCCAGGUGAUGCGCCGAGGUCGAGUUCUUUUGGUGAAGAUGACUUUCUCAUCUCUGCAAGCAUCAAAGACCCAAGAUGGCGCCAAACAAUUUGAUGCCUACCUGUCCUGCUCAGCUGACCACAUGGAUAUGCUGAAGUCCUUUCCUUCUGUCUGCAAGCUGUCUGUCAAGCUCAACACGCCCCUCCCAGCCUCUGCAUCAUGCGGAAGGCUGUUCAGCAUAGCAGAUCUUAUUUUCAGCCCACGAAGAGUACGGCUAAAUUCUAGGCACUUUGAAAGCCAGCUGCUUUUGAAGAUGAACAGAAGGUUUUACAGGUUCAGGUGAUAAUGGGGUUAUGUGCAAGGAUGACCACAAGGGGUGGUUAAGAUUUGGAGAGGAAGAAAAAAGUCAAGGGCAAAAGUGUGUAGGGGAUGAGGGGCUUGUGUUUACAAAGUGUUUAAGAUUUAGUUAAUAGGCCUGAAGUGCAUCUUUUUUUCUCUGGUGUGAUGUACACUUCAUUUCAGCACUGCCUUUUUUUUACGUUUUAAGGUAGUUUUACAAAAAAUGCCUUCCUCUUCAGAUGCCAAAUAAGCUGCAGUUCCCUCCUAUUUCUUUUUCUUUUGUAUAAUGACCUGUUAUGUGUGUGGCUUUUAGUCUGUGAAGUACAGUAAUCUUUUUUUCUUCAUGUUGGCCGCGUUAACAAAAGGCUUUUUCAAACUGGACUCCCUCUUCAGAUGCCGGAUUAGCUUCAGUUUUUUUUCUUCUUUUUUUGUAAUGAUGUCAAUAACAGUAGCAGUAAUAAAACUUGGUCUAAUUUUCUCCUACA
Long non-coding RNA from Fundulus heteroclitus (mummichog), 1072 nucleotides. RefSeq lists it as uncharacterized. Lineage: Eukaryota; Metazoa; Chordata; Actinopteri; Cyprinodontiformes; Fundulidae. The record is from RefSeq and is a predicted model, not a curated record. The transcript has 2 exons.